CAGCCGCCGCGGGAAUACGUAGGGUGCGAGCGUUAAUCGGAAUUACUGGGCGUGAAGCGUGCGCAGGCGGUUCGUUAAGACAGAUGUGAAAUCCCCGGGCUUAACCUGGGAACUGCAUUUGUGACUGGCGAGCUAGAGUAUGGCAGAGGGGGGUAGAAUUCCACGUGUAGCAGUGAAAUGCGUAGAGAUGUGGAGGAAUACCGAUGGCGAAGGCAGCCCCCUGGGCCAAUACUGACGCUCAUGCACGAAAGCGUGGGGAGCAAACAGGAUUAGAGACCCCCGUAGUCCCUGUCUCUUAUAC
RNAcentral lists this ribosomal RNA (301 nucleotides) under uncultured bacterium. Its description in RNAcentral is "partial 16S ribosomal RNA". It matches the Rfam family "Bacterial small subunit ribosomal RNA", at positions 509 to 807 of the family's 1533-position model. The record is from RNAcentral.